This 312-nucleotide unclassified non-coding RNA is filed under the name Hevea brasiliensis (rubber tree). The record is from RNAcentral. Lineage: Eukaryota; Viridiplantae; Streptophyta; Magnoliopsida; Malpighiales; Euphorbiaceae.
UUUGGUUCCAUUUGAGUUUUGCAAUAAUUCAACUUUCCAGAUGGCUCCAGUAGGGACCUCAAGGAACACAACAUCACGCAGAUCGGCUCCAUACUUGAUUACAAAUUCAUCGGGGAUAUUUAAUUUGGAGGCAUGAGGAGAUAAGAUAAUCUUGAAGAACUGAGGAGGCAUUUCCGUUUUCUUCUUCUUCACUUUGUUUUUUGCUUUUACAAAUGAAACUAUUUCUUCUCUUCUCUCAUAGAAAGAAGAGCUAAUUUGGUUUUUCUUUACUACACUUACUUCCUCUUCUUCGUAUCCCAAGUCCCAACUAAA